RNAcentral lists this ribosomal RNA (424 nucleotides) under uncultured bacterium. Its description in RNAcentral is "bacterial SSU rRNA". It matches the Rfam family "Bacterial small subunit ribosomal RNA", at positions 8 to 418 of the family's 1533-position model. The record is from RNAcentral.
AGAGUUUGAUCAUGGCUCAGAUUGAACGCUGGCGGCGUGCUUAACACAUGCAAGUCGAACGAGAAAGGGACUUCGGUCCUGAGUAGAGUGGCGCACGGGUGAGUAACGCGUAGGUAAUCUACCUCUGCAUCUGGGAUAACACUUCGAAAGGGGUGCUAAUACCGGAUACRCUUAUGGAUCGCAAGAUCUAUAAGGAAAGGAGACCUCUCCUUGGAAGUUUCUGUGUAGAGAUGAGCCUGCGUCCCAUUAGCUAGUUGGCAGGGUAAUGGCCUACCAAGGCGACGAUGGGUAGCGGGUCUGAGAGGAUGAUCCGCCACACUGGAACUGAAACACGGACCAGACUCCUACGGGAGGCAGCAGUGAGGAAUAUUGGACAAUGGGCGCAAGCCUGAUCCAGCGACGCCGCGUGAGUGAUGAAGGCCUU